GGGCUCGGAGCUGAGGCUGGCUGACUUUUGUUUCCAGUCUCCCUGGACAGCCAUUGAUUUGAAUCGAUUAUAGCCCUGGUGGGCGAGGAAUGCGGCCCUCACUGAUGUCCGGAACCCGAGCAAUGGAAGGUGAUGAGGACUCCUACGGUUGGGCUGAGACGCUCCUGCCCCACUCCUACAUCCGGGGGUCGGGGGUCGGAGACGCAGUUCCCUGGAGGAGGCUUCGGGAUCCAGCCCAGUUUCUCCCGGCGAUGAAGAAACUGAGGCAAAGAGCACUGAGUAACUUGAUCAGGGCUACAGCUGGUCAAUGAAUAUUACUUCAAAGGAUUCACAAAUACCACUCCUCCCUCCAGUUUCAUGAAUGGGCCCAGAGUCCACAGACCACAUCCCCCACACAUAUAUACAUUUUGUUAAGAGGGCCUAGAAAGUUAAAAUGGGAUCAGAUUUGAUGAGCUAUCUAAGUGGCCUGUGAA
This is a long non-coding RNA of Cynocephalus volans (Philippine flying lemur), 473 nucleotides long. RefSeq lists it as uncharacterized. The transcript is spliced from 3 exons. NCBI's taxonomy places the organism in Eukaryota, Metazoa, Chordata, Mammalia, Dermoptera, Cynocephalidae. The record is from RefSeq and is a predicted model, not a curated record.